Molecule: transfer RNA, 84 nt
Filed under: Thermoplasmatales archaeon I-plasma
Lineage: Archaea; Methanobacteriati; Thermoplasmatota; Thermoplasmata; Thermoplasmatales
Also listed under: 3 other names
Rfam family: tRNA
About the family: Transfer RNA (tRNA) molecules are approximately 80 nucleotides in length. Their secondary structure includes four short double-helical elements and three loops (D, anti-codon, and T loops).
Source: Rfam by way of RNAcentral
GCCGUGGUAGCGAAGCGGCCUAACGCGCCAGACUUGAGAUCUGGUUCUCUCACGAGAUCGGGAGUUCAAAUCUCCCCCACGGCG